Molecule: ribosomal RNA, 460 nt
Filed under: uncultured bacterium
Lineage: Bacteria
Description: partial 16S ribosomal RNA
Rfam family: Bacterial small subunit ribosomal RNA
Source: RNAcentral
CCUACGGGGGACAGCAGUGAGGAAUAUUGGUCAAUGGGCGGAAGCCUGAACCAGCCAAGUCGCGUGAGGGAUUAAGGCCCUAUGGGUCGUAAACCUCUUUUGUCAGGGAGCAAGGUCGUCCACGUGUGGGCGUAUGGAGAGUACCCGAAGAAAAAGCAUCGGCUAACUCCGUGCCAGCAGCCGCGGUAAUACGGAGGAUGCGAGCGUUAUCCGGAUUUAUUGGGUUUAAAGGGUGCGCAGGCGGAUUUUUAAGUCAGCGGUCAAAUCGUGGGGCUCAACCCCAUCCAGCCGUUGAAACUGGGGAUCUAGAGUGUGCGAGAGGUAUGCGGAAUGCGUGGUGUAGCGGUGAAAUGCAUAGAUAUCACGCAGAACCCCGAUUGCGAAGGCAGCAUACCGGUGCACAACUGACGCUCAGGCACGAAAGCGUGGGUAUCGAACAGGAUUAGAUACCCUAGUAGUC